RNAcentral lists this small RNA (28 nucleotides) under Bombyx mori (domestic silkworm). Its description in RNAcentral is "ovarian small RNA-33176". Lineage: Eukaryota; Metazoa; Arthropoda; Insecta; Lepidoptera; Bombycidae. The record is from RNAcentral.
UGAUUUAGUGUCCUUGUAUGGUAUGGUC